This 492-nucleotide ribosomal RNA is filed under the name uncultured bacterium. RNAcentral describes it as "partial 16S ribosomal RNA". It matches the Rfam family "Bacterial small subunit ribosomal RNA", at positions 29 to 507 of the family's 1533-position model. The record is from RNAcentral.
AGUGAACGCUGGCGGUAGGCCUAACACAUGCAAGUCGAACGGCAGCACAGUAAGAGCUUGCUCUUACGGGUGGCGAGUGGCGGACGGGUGAGGAAUACAUCGGAAUCUACUUUUUCGUGGGGGAUAACGUAGGGAAACUUACGCUAAUACCGCAUACGACCUACGGGUGAAAGCAGGGGAUCUUCGGACCUUGCGCGAUUGAAUGAGCCGAUGUCGGAUUAGCUAGUUGGCGAGGUAAAGGCCCACCAAGGCGACGAUCCGUAGCUGGUCUGAGAGGAUGAUCAGCCACACUGGAACUGAGACACGGUCCAGACUCCUACGGGAGGCAGCAGUAGGGAAUAUUGGACAAUGGGCGCAAGCCUGAUCCAGCCAUACCGCGUGGGUGAAGAAGGCCUUCGGGUUGUAAAGCCCUUUUGUUGGGAAAGAAAAGCAGCAGGUUAAUACCCCGCUGUUCUGACGGUACCCAAAGAGUAAGCACCGGCUAACUUCGUG